This is a small nuclear RNA of Bos grunniens (domestic yak), 107 nucleotides long. The record is from Ensembl. NCBI's taxonomy places the organism in Eukaryota, Metazoa, Chordata, Mammalia, Artiodactyla, Bovidae.
GUGCUCGCUCUGGCAGCACAUACACUAAAACUGGAACAAUACAGAGAAGAUUAGCAUGGCCCCUGACCAAGGAUGACAUGCAAAUUCCUGAAGCAUUCCAUAUCUUU